This 404-nucleotide ribosomal RNA is filed under the name uncultured bacterium. RNAcentral's name for it is "bacterial SSU rRNA". It matches the Rfam family "Bacterial small subunit ribosomal RNA", at positions 430 to 826 of the family's 1533-position model. The record is from RNAcentral.
GCACUUUAAGCAGUGAAGAAGACUCCGUGGUUAAUACCCACGGACGAUGACAUUAGCUGCAGAAUAAGCACCGGCUAACUCCGUGCCAGCAGCCGCGGUAAUACAGAGGGUGCAAGCGUUAAUCGGAAUUACUGGGCGUAAAGGGAGCGUAGGUGGCUCGAUAAGUCAGAUGCGAAAUCCCCGGGCUCAACCUGGGAACUGCAUCUGAUACUGUUGAGCUAGAGUAUGUGAGAGGAAGGUAGAAUUCCAGGUGUAGCGGUGAAAUGCGUAGAGAUCUGGAGGAAUACCGAUGGCGAAGGCAGCCUUCUGGCAUAAUACUGACACUGAGGCUCGAAAGCGUGGGUAGCAAACAGGAUUAAAUACCCUGGUAGUCCACGCCGUAAACGAUGUCUACUAGUCGUUGG